AUGAUCACAGAUAAUAGUUUUGAUUUACUCUGCUUGACUGAAACCUGGCUAAAACCAAAUGAUUAUUUUGGUCUAAAUGAGUCUACUCCACCAAACUACUGUUAUAAGCAUGAGCCCCGUCAGACUGGUCGUGGCAGGGGUGUUGCAACAAUAUAUAGUGAUAUUCUCAAUGUUACCCAGAAAACAGGAUGCAGGUUUAACUCUUUUGAAAUACUUCUGCUAAAUGUUACACUGUCAGACAUGCAAAAGAAAUCUAAUGUAUCUCUUGCUCUGGCUACUGUGUAUAGACCACCAGGGCCGUAUACAGAAUUCCUAAAAGAAUUUGCAGAACUCCUCUCAGACCUUCUAGUUACAGUUGAUAAGGCGCUAAUCAUGGGAGAUUUUAAUAUUCACGUUGAUAAUGCAAAUGAUACAUUAGGACUUGCGUUUACUGACCUAAUAAACUCCUUUGGAGUCAAGCAAAAUGUCACCGGGCCCACUCAUCGUUUUAAUCAUACACUAGAUUUAAUUAUAUCGCAUGGAAUCGAUCUUACUGCUAUAGAUAUUGUACCUCAAGGUGAUGAUAUUACAGACCAUUUCCUUGUAUCGUGCAUGCUGCGUAUAACUGAUAUUAACUAUAUGUCUCAGCGUUACCGUCUGGGCAGAACUAUUGUUCCAGCCACCAAAGAAAGAUUCGCAAAUAACCUGCCUGAUCUAUCUCAACUGCUAUUUGUACCCAAAAAUACACAUGAAUUAGAUGAAAUUACUGACAACAUGGGCACUAUUUUCUCUAAUACAUUAGAAGCUGUUGCCCCAAUCAAAUUGAAAAAAGUUAGAGAAAAACGUACUGUACCAUGGUAUAACAGUAAUACUCACUCUCUCAAGAAAGUAACUCGUAGUCUUGAACGCAAAUGGAGAAAAACUAACUUAGAAGUUUUUAGAAUUGCAUGGAAAAACAGUAUGUCCAGCUAUAGACAGGCUCUAAAAACUGCUAGGGCAGAGCAUAUACACAAACUCAUUGAAAAUAACCAAAACAAUCCAAGGUUUUUAUUUAGCACAGUGGCUAAGUUAACAAAUUACCAGACGCCACCUGAUUCAAAUAUUCCACCAACAUUAAAUAGUAAUGACUUUAUGAAUUUCUUCACUGAUAAAAUAGAUAACAUUAGAAAUACAAUAGCGAAUGUAGAUUCUACAACAUCUAACACUUCAGUUUUAUCCAUCGCACCCAAAGAUAAACUGCAAUGCUUUACAACCAUAGGACAGGAAGAGCUAAAUAAACUUAUCACUGUAUCUAAACCAACAACAUGUUUAUUAGAUCCUGUACCCACUAAAUUACUGAAAGAGCUGUUACCUGUAGCCGAAGAACCGCUUCUCAAUAUCAUAAACUCGUCGUUAUCUUUAGGACACGUCCCAAAACCAUUCAAGCUGGCGGUUAUCAAGCCUCUUAUUAAGAAACCAAAACUAGAUCCUAGUGUACUGGCAAAUUAUAGGCCUAUUUCAAAUCUUCCAUUUAUGUCUAAAAUUUUAGAAAAAGUUGUGUCUGCUCAAUUGAGCACCUUCCUGCAUAAAAAUGAUCUGUAUGAAGAAUUUCAGUCAGGUUUAAGGCCCCACCAUAGCACAGAAACUGCACUUGUUAAAAUUACAAAUGACCUGCUCCUUGCGUCAGACCAAGGCUGCAUCUCAUUUCUAGUCUUACUUGAUCUUAGUGCUGCGUUCAACACCAUAGAACAGUGGUCCUCAAAUCUGGCUCGCGAGAUCCAGUUUCCUGCAGAGUUUAGCUCCGACUCUAAUUAA
Long non-coding RNA from Carassius auratus (goldfish), 1773 nucleotides. Lineage: Eukaryota; Metazoa; Chordata; Actinopteri; Cypriniformes; Cyprinidae. The record is from Ensembl.